RNAcentral lists this ribosomal RNA (466 nucleotides) under uncultured bacterium. RNAcentral's name for it is "partial 16S ribosomal RNA". It matches the Rfam family "Bacterial small subunit ribosomal RNA", at positions 29 to 506 of the family's 1533-position model. The record is from RNAcentral.
ACGCACGCUGGCGGCGUGCUUAACCCCUGCAAGUCGAACGGAAAGGCCCUGCUUUUGUGGGGUGCUCGAGUGGCGAACGGGUGAGUAACACGUGAGUAACCUGCCCUUGACUUUGGGAUAACUUCAGGAAACUGGGGCUAAUACCGGAUAGGAGCUCCUGCUGCAUGGUGGGGGUUGGAAAGUUUCGGCGGUUGGGGAUGGACUCGCGGCUUAUCAGCUUGUUGGUGGGGUAGUGGCUUACCAAGGCUUUGACGGGUAGCCGGCCUGAGAGGGUGACCGGCCACAUUGGGACUGAGAUACGGCCCAGACGCCUACGGGAGGCAGCAGUGGGGAAUAUUGCACAAUGGGCGGAAGCCUGAUGCAGCAACGCCGCGUGCGGGAUGACGGCCUUCGGGUUGUAAACCGCUUUCGCCUGUGACGAAGCGUGAGUGACGGUAAUGGGUAAAGAAGCACCGGCUAACUACGU